GGCUCCGGCGGGGCGGGCGGCUGAAAGACAAAAGGACGUGGGGAAAGCACCUCCGCCGAGCCCCACCCCUCCCGCCCGUGAGCGGCGAAGGCGCUGGUCACUCGGGUGGGUGAAUAUGCCCGGCUCCGCUGGAUUUCGCGAACGCGGACGGUCCACGCUCAGCACGAGCAGGACACACACCGGACUUACGUCGGCCCCCGCCCGGGACUUCCACUCCCAACUGCGGGGGCCUGACCACCAAGGAAGUACAGCCCCUUCCCG
This 261-nucleotide non-coding RNA is filed under the name Streptomyces griseoaurantiacus M045. RNAcentral's name for it is "Streptomyces sRNA 4677". It matches the Rfam family "Streptomyces sRNA 4677". From Rfam's summary of the family: Located in the intergenic region between anti-sigma factor SCO4677 gene and a putative regulatory protein gene SCO4676. scr4677 expression requires the SCO4677 activity and scr4677 sRNA itself seem to affect the levels of the SCO4676-associated transcripts. Lineage: Bacteria; Bacillati; Actinomycetota; Actinomycetes; Kitasatosporales; Streptomycetaceae. The record is from Rfam by way of RNAcentral.